RNAcentral lists this ribosomal RNA (486 nucleotides) under uncultured Micrococcus sp. Its description in RNAcentral is "bacterial SSU rRNA". It matches the Rfam family "Bacterial small subunit ribosomal RNA", at positions 8 to 507 of the family's 1533-position model. Lineage: Bacteria; Bacillati; Actinomycetota; Actinomycetes; Micrococcales; Micrococcaceae. The record is from RNAcentral.
AGAGUUUGAUCCUGGCUCAGGAUGAACGCUGGCGGCGUGCUUAACACAUGCAAGUCGAACGAUGAAGCCCAGCUUGCUGGGUGGAUUAGUGGCGAACGGGUGAGUAACACGUGAGUAACCUGCCCUUAACUCUGGGAUAAGCCUGGGAAACUGGGUCUAAUACCGGAUAGGAGCGCCUACCGCAUGGUGGGUGUUGGAAAGAUUUAUCGGUUUUGGAUGGACUCGCGGCCUAUCAGCUUGUUGGUGAGGUAAUGGCUCACCAAGGCGACGACGGGUAGCCGGCCUGAGAGGGUGACCGGCCACACUGGGACUGAGACACGGCCCAGACUCCUACGGGAGGCAGCAGUGGGGAAUAUUGCACAAUGGGCGCAAGCCUGAUGCAGCGACGCCGCGUGAGGGAUGACGGCCUUCGGGUUGUAAACCUCUUUCAGUAGGGAAGAAGCGAAAGUGACGGUACCUGCAGAAGAAGCACCGGCUAACUACGUG